RNAcentral lists this ribosomal RNA (253 nucleotides) under uncultured bacterium. RNAcentral's name for it is "partial 16S ribosomal RNA". It matches the Rfam family "Bacterial small subunit ribosomal RNA", at positions 524 to 776 of the family's 1533-position model. The record is from RNAcentral.
UACGAAGGGGGCUAGCGUUGCUCGGAAUCACUGGGCGUAAAGCGCACGUAGGCGGGUUCUUCAGUCAGGGGUGAAAUCCUGGAGCUCAACUCCAGAACUGCCUUUGAUACUGGGAAUCUCGAGUCCGGGAGAGGUGAGUGGAACUGCGAGUGUAGAGGUGAAAUUCGUAGAUAUUCGCAAGAACACCAGUGGCGAAGGCGGCUCACUGGCCCGGUACUGACGCUGAGGUGCGAAAGCGUGGGGAGCAAACAGG